GUAACUGUUCAGGUAUUGACGGUAUUUAACCAGAAAGCCACGGCUAACUACGUGCCAGCAGCCGCGGUAAUACGUAGGUGGCAAGCGUUGUCCGGAUUUAUUGGGCGUAAAGCGAGCGCAGGCGGUUUUUUAAGUCUGAUGUGAAAGCCUUCGGCUCAACCGAAGAAGUGCAUCGGAAACUGGGAAACUUGAGUGCAGAAGAGGACAGUGGAACUCCAUGUGUAGCGGUGAAAUGCGUAGAUAUAUGGAAGAACACCAGUGGCGAAGGCGGCUGUCUGGUCUGUAACUGACGCUGAGGCUCGAAAGUAUGGGUAGCAAACAGGAUUAGAUACCCUGGUAGUCCAUACCGUAAACGAUGAAUGCUAAGUGUUGGAGGGUUUCCGCCCUUCAGUGCUGCAGCUAACGCAUUAAGCAUUCCGCCUGGGGAGUACGGCCGCAAGGCUGAAACUCAAAGGAAUUGACGGGGGCCCGCACAAGCGGUGGAGCAUGUGGUUUAAUUCGAAGCUACGCGAAGAACCUUACCAGGUCUUGACAUACUAUGCAAAUCUAAGAGAUUAGACGUUCCCUUCGGGGACAUGGAUACAGGUGGUGCAUGGUUGUCGUCAGCUCGUGUCGUGAGAUGUUGGGUUAAGUCCCGCAACGAGCGCAACCCUUAUUAUCAGUUGCCAGCAUUAAGUUGGGCACUCUGGUGAGACUGCCGGUGACAAACCGGAGGAAGGUGGGGAUGACGUCAAAUCAUCAUGCCCCUUAUGACCUGGGCUACACACGUGCUACAAUGGAUGGUACAACGAGUUGCGAACUCGCGAGAGUAAGCUAAUCUCUUAAAGCCAUUCUCAGUUCGGAUUGUAGGCUGCAACUCGCCUACAUGAAGUCGGAAUCGCUAGUAAUCGCGGAUCAGCAUGCCGCGGUGAAUACGUUCCCGGGCCUUGUACACACCGCCCGUCACACCAUGAGAGUUUGUAACACCCAAAGUCGGUGGGGUAAC
Molecule: ribosomal RNA, 985 nt
Filed under: Lactiplantibacillus plantarum
Lineage: Bacteria; Bacillati; Bacillota; Bacilli; Lactobacillales; Lactobacillaceae
Description: bacterial SSU rRNA
Rfam family: Bacterial small subunit ribosomal RNA
Source: RNAcentral